Molecule: ribosomal RNA, 494 nt
Filed under: uncultured bacterium
Lineage: Bacteria
Description: partial 16S ribosomal RNA
Rfam family: Bacterial small subunit ribosomal RNA
Source: RNAcentral
GAUGAACGCUGGCGGCGUGCCUAACACAUGCAAGUCGAACGGAAAGGCCUGCUUUCCCUUGUGGAGUGCGGGUACUCGGGUGGGGAACGGGUGAGUAACACGCGAGUGAUCUGCCCCCGACUUGGGUAUAGGAAUGGGAAACAGGGUCUAAUUCUCGAUAGGACUGCAGGGUUGUGCAGGUGGUGGAAAAUGUUUUUCUAGUGGUUGGGGAUGAGCUGGCGCCCUAUCUGGUUGGUGGUGGGGUAAUGGCCUACCAAGGCGGCGACGGGUAGCCGGACUGGGAGCGUGGACGGUGACAUUGGGACUGAGACACGGCUCAGACGCCUGCGGGCGGCAGCAGUUGGGAAGCUUGCAGAAUGAGCGGAAGGCUGAUGCGGCGAGGCAGCGUGGGAGAUGACCGGCUUCGGGUUGUCUGCUCCUUGCGACCGCGAGGAAUCCACCUGGUUGGAAGGGUGGUGACGGUAGUGGUAGAAGAAGCACCGGCUAACUACGUG